ACCCCACCUGUUUACCAAAAACAUCACCUCUGGCUUCACCAGUAUUAGAGGCACCGCCUGCCCAGUGACAUAUGUUCAACAGCUGCGGUAUCCUGACAUUGUAAAGGUAGCAUAAUCACUUGUUCCCUAAAUAGGGACUUGUAUGAAUGGCCACACAAGGGU
Molecule: ribosomal RNA, 162 nt
Organism: Homo sapiens (human)
Lineage: Eukaryota; Metazoa; Chordata; Mammalia; Primates; Hominidae
Rfam family: Archaeal large subunit ribosomal RNA
Source: Rfam